RNAcentral lists this ribosomal RNA (253 nucleotides) under uncultured bacterium. RNAcentral describes it as "partial 16S ribosomal RNA". It matches the Rfam family "Bacterial small subunit ribosomal RNA", at positions 524 to 776 of the family's 1533-position model. The record is from RNAcentral.
GACGUACCGUCCUAACGUUGUUCGGAAUCACUGGGCUUAAAGGGCGCGUAGGCGGCUUGCCAAGUCAGGGGUGAAAUCCUGCAGCUUAACUGUAGAAGGGCCUUUGAUACUGGCGAGCUCGAGGGAGGUAGGGGUAUGUGGAACUUCCGGUGGAGCGGUGAAAUGCGUUGAUAUCGGAAGGAACGCCGGUGGCGAAAGCGACGUACUGGACCUCUUCUGACGCUGAGGCGCGAAAGCUAGGGGAGCAAACGGG